UUGCCCUUAUUCAAAUUUGCACAUCCGCACCCCCAAAGUCCAAAGUUUAUUAGAAAGGGUUUUAAGUGAGCAUUUCAAGAACUAACAAAUGGCGCAAAGCCUUAAGCACAGUAUAGAAUCCCUUGAAACUGAAGAAGAAGAAGAAGAAAAGGAGGUCUCAAUUUCUGCAGAAAAUGGGAUCCACUUGGAAACGCGUGAGACCUGUUGAAGAAGAAAAAGAAAAAGAGGCUAGAUCCUUGUAGAAAUAUCACCCUUUUUUUACUACUUUGCCGCAUUGAUAAGAUUCACACACCAAAA
This is a long non-coding RNA of Capsicum annuum, 297 nucleotides long. RefSeq lists it as uncharacterized. The record is from RefSeq and is a predicted model, not a curated record. NCBI's taxonomy places the organism in Eukaryota, Viridiplantae, Streptophyta, Magnoliopsida, Solanales, Solanaceae. The transcript has 2 exons.